Molecule: long non-coding RNA, 578 nt
Filed under: Manacus vitellinus (golden-collared manakin)
Lineage: Eukaryota; Metazoa; Chordata; Aves; Passeriformes; Pipridae
Description: lncRNA (ENSMVIG00005019022.1)
Source: RNAcentral
AUGGAAUUGGAAAACCCUUUAGGAUUUGGGUUGUGGGCAGCUACAGUGUGGAGCAGAUCCAAGCAGAUCCAAGGCUGCCGUGGUGACGGAUCCUCUGAUGCUGUCCACGAACUGCUGCUGAGUCCCCGCUGCCCGGUGCCAGCUGUGCCCCUGUCUCACUGUAUUGAUGCUGAAUGUACAAUCUCAAGUCCUGCAGAGCCAGUUUCAGGGAAGGGGAGUUCUGGAAAAAUGGGAUGUGGAGCUCAAAGGAACUCUUGGUGUGAACUGCACGGAUGCCUGGCGUCCGCCGCCUUCCGCAGCGCCCCGAGGGAAACGGCAGCUCCCCAAAUGUCUGCAGAUGACAGGAAACUUCUGAUAAAGGCAGAGGAGAUGAUUAUUCUGCAGGUGAAGAAUGGCAGCUUCUGCCUGUGUGAAGUCUGGGGGCAGAAGGAAGAGGGGAGUAUCCAAACAUAACAGGACCCAGUACAUAGACUCCAGGUGUUCCAGGACAUUGGAGCCCACUCUGGGCACUGUCUUUAGAUGAGAAAGGGAAAUUUCUGAAGCGAGUCUGGAGGGAAUUGAUUGAAGUCUCCUUUUAC